AUUCUGAGGCACUCAAAACACUCUCUGCCCCGGGUCUGUUUUCUGUUUAAAUUUCAGACUCUAUAACUCUACACCCUGCUGGCUCCACAUCUAUCCAUGUCUUCAAUGUCCCCACCCUUCAGAUGCGCCUUGCAUGGGACUCACCUGGCUCUUGUGGAGAAGCCACGAUCCGGGAGACCGAGCUGAGCAAGCCGCUGCACAUUGGUGUGGUGAGGAUGCUGUGCCUAGCUCUCUUGCAUCGGUUCCUUAGGAUGGACACUUCCUGCCCCCAAGCCUGAGGCCCCUUUGGCUGGUAACCUGCAGGGACACACUGCCAGGUUCUCUGGAUCCUCUGCUUGGGAGGUCUCCUUCCCCCAAAAGGGACAUCGUGGCCCAGCUUGGCAGGGAGCUGGGAAGCCAAUGCUGACGAGAGGUGACCCCACCUUGAACUCUGCUGGCAAGGAAGUGCGGUCCAUAAGGAGAACAGGAGUCUGGGCUUCUUCACUCUCUUGGCCGCCCCUAAAUUCUGCAAGGUGUCAGAAACAAAGUGGGAGCUCCAGAAGUCAAUAAAUAAAGGCAGCAUGUUCUGCAGAGCCCACUGGAACUUCUCCCCACUCCUA
This 599-nucleotide long non-coding RNA is filed under the name Cricetulus griseus (Chinese hamster). RNAcentral describes it as "lncRNA (ENSCGRG00015031369.1)". The record is from RNAcentral. Lineage: Eukaryota; Metazoa; Chordata; Mammalia; Rodentia; Cricetidae.